CCGGUAAACGGCGGCCGUAACUAUAACGGUCCUAAGGUAGCGAAAUUCCUUGUCGGGUAAGUUCCGACCUGCACGAAUGGCGUAAUGAUGGCCAGGCUGUCUCCACCCGAGACUCAGUGAAAUUGAACUCGCUGUGAAGAUGCAGUGUACCCGCGGCAAGACGGAAAGACCCCGUGAACCUUUACUAUAGCUUGACACUGAACAUUGAGCCUUGAUGUGUAGGAUAGGUGGGAGGCUUUGAAGUGUGGACGCCAGUCUGCAUGGAGCCGACCUUGAAAUACCACCCUUUAAUGUUUGAUGUUCUAACGUUGACCCGUAAUCCGGGUUGCGGACAGUGUCUGGUGGGUAGUUUGACUGGGGCGGUCUCCUCCUAAAGAGUAACGGAGGAGCACGAAGGUUGGCUAAUCCUGGUCGGACAUCAGGAGGUUAGUGCAAUGGCAUAAGCCAGCUUGACUGCGAGCGUGACGGCGCGAGCAGGUGCGAAAGCAGGUCAUAGUGAUCCGGUGGUUCUGAAUGGAAGGGCCAUCGCUCAACGGAUAAAAGGUACUCCGGGGAUAACAGGCUGAUACCGCCCAAGAGUUCAUAUCGACGGCGGUGUUUGGCACCUCGAUGUCGGCUCAUCACAUCCUGGGGCUGAAGUAGGUCCCAAGGGUAUGGCUGUUCGCCAUUUAAAGUGGUACGCGAGCUGGGUUUAGAACGUCGUGAGACAGUUCGGUCCCUAUCUGCCGUGGGCGCUGGAGAACUGAGGGGGGCUGCUCCUAGUACGAGAGGACCGGAGUGGACGCAUCACUGGUGUUCGGGUUGUCAUGCCAAUGGCACUGCCCGGUAGCUAAAUGCGGAAGAGAUAAGUGCUGAAAGCAUCUAAGCACGAAACUUGCCCCGAGAUGAGUUCUCCCUGACUCCUUGAGAGUCCUGAAGGAACGUUGAAGACGACGACGUUGAUAGGCCGGGUGUGUAAGCGCAGCGAUGCGUUGAGCUAACCGGUACUAAUGAACCGUGAGGCUUAACCUU
RNAcentral lists this ribosomal RNA (1011 nucleotides) under Escherichia coli. RNAcentral describes it as "partial 23S ribosomal RNA". It matches the Rfam family "Bacterial large subunit ribosomal RNA", at positions 1920 to 2925 of the family's 2925-position model. Lineage: Bacteria; Pseudomonadati; Pseudomonadota; Gammaproteobacteria; Enterobacterales; Enterobacteriaceae. The record is from RNAcentral.